RNAcentral lists this unclassified non-coding RNA (2650 nucleotides) under Hevea brasiliensis (rubber tree). Lineage: Eukaryota; Viridiplantae; Streptophyta; Magnoliopsida; Malpighiales; Euphorbiaceae. The record is from RNAcentral.
AAAAAAAAAAAAAAAAAAGAAACUUGAGCUAUUCUGUUCUCUCCCUCUCUCUAACCCCUUUGCUUUUGGUAUUAUAGCUUACACUUGGAGCUGCAACUUGCACAAGUGUGUCAUAUCUUUUAAGCUUAGUGCUAUCAUUUCUGAUGCACACAAAAAAAUUCCGUUCAAAUGGAAGUUGAUGUCAAGAUGCACUGGCAGUUAUUCCCAAAAAAAAUUCAGAAAGUUGCCAAAUUAAACAAUUGAAGAUUUACUCUUGCAAAUAGAAGACCUGAUCUUAUCCUUUUGGUUUCUUAGUAACUUGUUCUUUUGCUGGCAAUUUCAUCAUAAUCAUUUGUGUCUUUUUUGCUGUCAUUAUCCACAUGUUAUAUUGCCACUCUCUCUCUCUCUCUCUAUACUAGUUCAGGCUUAAAGCUUCCGGGUCGUGGCCUGUGAUCCCGUUGUUUCUGGGUCUCCAGCAGCGUAUGUACUCUCCUGCUCUUUAAACUCUGUACCAUUUCAGUACUUCAAAUCCUCACUCUGUAAGUCACCAAUAUUGUUUAUCUUUUGGGCCUGAUGUGACUGCAGUUAACUUUCCGGCGAGAUUUGGCUGGAGAAUGGCAUAUAUGUGCGCUGACAGUGGAAAUCUAAUGGCAAUUGCCCAACAAGUUAUCAAGCAAAAACAGCAGCAAGAGCAACAGCAGCAGCAGCAUCACCACCACCAGCAACAGCAACUAUUAGGCCUUAAUUCUUUCCCUUUAAAUCCCUGGCCUCCUACAAUGUCUACUAGUCCCAAUCUGGGUUAUACUGGGAUCGCCGCUGCCGGUUUCACCGACCCCUUUCAGGUUCCCUCUGGCGGAGAUACGGGAGAACCUGGGUUUCAGUUCCCCCAGAUGGAGCACCACUCCACUGGCUUCAGGUUUUCGGAUUUCAGUGCUGGAGCAUCUGCUGAGUUCGAUUCGGACGAGUGGAUGGAUAGUUUGAUGGGUGGUGGAGACUCAACGGAUAGUUCGAAUCUACCCUCUAGUUGCGACGCGUGGCAAAACAAUGCUGAUUUUAGUCUCUACGGUCCUGAUCCAUUUGCCACCUGCCCAACGCGUCUCAGCGUGGCUUGCCCUUCGCCGUCCGAUCUCAACAGAGCCAUAUUCACAGAAACCCAGAAAAGCCCUAACCCACUUCAAGUCCAAGCCUGGGGUCCAUCUCCACCACCUCCUCCUCCGCAAGUGGUGGUGAAAGACACCAAGCUAGCCAAUCCUCCUCCACCAUCGACACUAAAAAACGAAGGAGUUGGUGCCUCUUCUAGUUCACCAGAAAUUGAGUCAGCACCAGCGCUCUUGAAAGCACUACUCGAGUGUGCUCGACUCGCUGAGUCAGAACCUGAGAAAGCAGUGAAAUCGCUGAUUAAGGUCAGGGAGUCGGUAUCCGAACAAGGAGAUCCAACUGAGAGAGUGGCCUUUUACUUCACCGAAGCUUUAUAUGGCAGAGUUUCUCUACAAGCAGAUAAAAGCUUGACCAUGUUCGAUACUACCUGCGAGGACUUCACUCUCUCUUACAAAGCGUUAAACGAUGCAUGUCCUUAUUCGAAGUUUGCUCAUUUAACAGCGAACCAGGCAAUACUCGAGGCCACGGAGAGGGCAAGCAAGAUUCACAUAGUCGAUUUCGGGAUCGUUCAAGGCGUUCAGUGGGCUGCUCUUUUACAAGCUCUGGCUACUCGCUCUGCCGGAAAACCUGCAAGAAUUCGGAUCUCUGGUAUACCUGCUCCAGUUCUGGGAAAAUCUCCAGGGGCUUCUCUGUUUGCCACUGGAAAUAGGCUUCGUGAUUUUGCAAAGCUUCUAGAUUUGAACUUCGAGUUCGAGCCGAUACUGACUCCAAUUCAUGAGUUGAACGAAUCCAGCUUCCGGGUUGAUCCUGAUGAGGUUUUAGCAGUAAAUUUCAUGCUUCAGUUGUAUAAUUUACUGGACGAGACUCCAGUUGGUGUAGAGACUGCUCUAAGGAUGGCUAAAUCGUUGAACCCGAAGAUUGUUACUUUAGGCGAGUAUGAAGCGUGUUUGAAUCGGAUUGGGUACGUAAACCGAUUCAAAAACGCUCUGAGAUACUACUCUGCUCUGUUUGAAUCUCUUGAGCCGAACUUGAGCAGAGACUCACCAGAGAGACUCCAAGUUGAGAAAUUGUUACUGGGUCGCAGAAUUGCUGGUGUUAUUGGGCCAGAGGAAGCGGGAACUAGAAGGGAACGUAUUGAGGAUAAAGAGCAGUGGAGGAUUUUGAUGGAAAGUUGUGGUUUUGAAUCAGUUGCACUUAGCCAUUAUGCCAUGAGUCAGGCUAAGAUACUUUUGUGGAACUACAAUUACAGUUCUUUGUAUUCUUUGGUAGAAUCUCAACCUGGGUUUCUGUCUCUAGCCUGGAAAGAGGUGCCACUGCUCACUGUUUCUUCAUGGCGUUGAUGGAGCAUGGAUUUGCCUUGCUUUGGUAUUAGUUUCCACCUGGUAUUUUUUCUCUGGUGUGGAACAAAUUAGUGUCCAUACGCCAUUAUUUGAAACCAGUCUUGGCCUAGUUAUAGUUUGUUAUUUUUAAUUGCAAUUAUUAUGCAUUUAGAAACCCUUUGCAGCUUUCUGGGACAAAUUAAUCACUUAGUUGUUAGUCUUUGAGUUUGGUCUUUAGAUAUAUGGUGUUAUUG